UGCCAGCCGCCGCGGUAAUACGGAGGGGGCAAGCGUUGUUCGGAAUUACUGGGCGUAAAGGGCGCGUAGGCGGGAUGUCAAGUCAGGGGUGAAAGGCCUGGGCUCAACCUGGGAACUGCCUUUGAAACUGACAUUCUGGAGUCCGGGAGAGGAUGGCGGAAUUCCCAGUGUAGAGGUGAAAUUCGUAGAUAUUGGGAAGAACACCGGUGGCGAAGGCGGCCAUCUGGACCGGUACUGACGCUAAGGCGCGAAAGCGUGGGGAGCAAACAGGAUUAGAUA
Molecule: ribosomal RNA, 279 nt
Filed under: uncultured bacterium
Lineage: Bacteria
Description: partial 16S ribosomal RNA
Rfam family: Bacterial small subunit ribosomal RNA
Source: RNAcentral